GGGGCCUACGGGGGGCAGCAGUGGGGAAUAUUGGGCAAUGGGCGCAAGGCUGACGCAGCAACGCCGCGUGAAGGAAGAAGGCUUUCGGGUUGUAAACUUCUUUUAUGAGGGACGAAAGAAAUGACGGUACCUCAUGAAUAAGCCACGGCUAACUACGUGCCAGCAGCCGCGGUAAUACGUAGGUGGCAAGCGUUAUCCGGAUUUACUGGGUGUAUAGGGCGUGUAGGCGGGUAUG
This 235-nucleotide ribosomal RNA is filed under the name uncultured bacterium. RNAcentral's name for it is "partial 16S ribosomal RNA". It matches the Rfam family "Bacterial small subunit ribosomal RNA", at positions 334 to 583 of the family's 1533-position model. The record is from RNAcentral.